This 65-nucleotide transfer RNA is filed under the name Dipodomys ordii (Ord's kangaroo rat). It matches the Rfam family "tRNA". Rfam says of the family: Transfer RNA (tRNA) molecules are approximately 80 nucleotides in length. Their secondary structure includes four short double-helical elements and three loops (D, anti-codon, and T loops). Further hydrogen bonds mediate the characteristic L-shaped molecular structure. tRNAs have two regions of fundamental functional importance: the anti-codon, which is responsible for specific mRNA codon recognition, and the 3' end, to which the tRNAs corresponding amino acid is attached (by aminoacyl-tRNA synthetases). tRNAs cope with the degeneracy of the genetic code in two manners: having more than one tRNA (with a specific anti-codon) for a particular amino acid; and 'wobble' base-pairing, i.e. permitting non-standard base-pairing at the 3rd anti-codon position. Lineage: Eukaryota; Metazoa; Chordata; Mammalia; Rodentia; Heteromyidae. The record is from Rfam by way of RNAcentral.
GGUGGCUCAGCAGUAGAGUGCUUGCCUUGCAUGCAUGAGGCCCUGGGUUCGAUUCCUCAGUACCA